Molecule: small nucleolar RNA, 126 nt
Organism: Serinus canaria (Common canary)
Lineage: Eukaryota; Metazoa; Chordata; Aves; Passeriformes; Fringillidae
Product: small nucleolar RNA SNORD22
Exons: 1
Source: RefSeq, a predicted model, not a curated record
CCCCCAUGAGGAAACCCCCACGUGUCUGACCCCCCCGGAGGGCCCAGGACCUGCAAAGGUGGAACCCCCUGGAGCCCCCGGGGGGAGAGGAGGCCGAGCAGUCCCAGAGGGGACGGUCUGAGGGGG